RNAcentral lists this ribosomal RNA (292 nucleotides) under uncultured bacterium. RNAcentral describes it as "partial 16S ribosomal RNA". The record is from RNAcentral.
GGACUACCCGGGUUUCUAAUCCUGUUUGCUCCCCACGCUUUCGCACCUCAGCGUCAAUAUUGGCCCAGGUCGCCGCCUUCGCCACUGGUGUUCCUCCCGAUAUCUACGAAUUUCACCUCUACACCGGGAAUUCCGCGACCCUCUUCCAUAUUCAAGCCGGCCAGUUUCGAGUGCACUUCCCGGGUUGAGCCCGGGGCUUUCACACCCGACUUAGUCGGCCGCCUACGUGCGCUUUACGCCCAAUGAUUCCGAGCAACGUUUGCACCCUCCGUAUUACCGCGGCGGCUGGCAC